This 75-nucleotide microRNA precursor is filed under the name Calidris pugnax (ruff). RNAcentral's name for it is "miRNA (ENSCPUG00000006106.1)". It matches the Rfam family "mir-122 microRNA precursor family". From Rfam's summary of the family: In mammals, miR-122 is enriched in liver cells where it has been implicated as a regulator of fatty-acid metabolism in mouse studies. The hairpin precursors (represented here) are predicted based on base pairing and cross-species conservation -- their extents are not known. Lineage: Eukaryota; Metazoa; Chordata; Aves; Charadriiformes; Scolopacidae. The record is from RNAcentral.
CAGAGCUGUGGAGUGUGACAAUGGUGUUUGUGUCCAAUCUAUCAAACGCCAUUAUCACACUAAAUAGCUACUGGU